AGGGUUUGAUCAUGGCUCAGGAUGAACGCUAGCGGCAGGCUUAACACAUGCAAGUCGAGGGGUAACAUUGAAGCUUGCUUCAGAUGACGACCGGCGCACGGGUGCGUAACGCGUAUACAAUCUACCUUGUACUGAGGGAUAGCCCAGAGAAAUUUGGAUUAAUACCUCAUAGUAUUAAGAUUUGGCAUCAAGACUUAAUUAAAGGUUACGGUACAAGAUGAGUAUGCGUCCUAUUAGCUAGAUGGAGUGGUAACGGCACCCCAUGGCAACGAUAGGUAGGGGCCCUGAGAGGGGGAUCCCCCACACUGGUACUGAGACACGGACCAGACUCCUACGGGAGGCAGCAGUGAGGAAUAUUGGACAAUGGGCGCAAGCCUGAUCCAGCCAUGCCGCGUGCAGGAAGACUGCCCUAUGGGUUGUAAACUGCUUUUAUACAGGAAGAAACACUCCCUCGUGAGGGAGCUUGACGGUACUGUAAGAAUAAGGAUCGGCUAACUCCGUGCCAGCAGCCGCGGUAAUACGGAGGAUCCAAGCGUUAUCCGGAAUCAUUGGGUUUAAAGGGUCCGUAGGUGGAUAAUUAAGUCAGAGGUGAAAUCCUGCAGCUCAACUGUAGAAUUGCCUUUGAUACUGGUUAUCUUGAGUUAUUAUGAAGUAGUUAGAAUAUGUAGUGUAGCGGUGAAAUGCAUAGAUAUUACAUAGAAUACCAAUUGCGAAGGCAGAUUACUAAUAAUAUACUGACACUGAUGGACGAAAGCGUGGGGAGCGAACAGGAUUAGAUACCCUGGUAGUCCACGCCGUAAACGAUGGUUACUAGCUGUUCGGUUUUCGGACUGAGUGGCUAAGCGAAAGUGAUAAGUAACCCACCUGGGGAGUACGUUCGCAAGAAUGAAACUCAAAGGAAUUGACGGGGGCCCGCACAAG
RNAcentral lists this ribosomal RNA (921 nucleotides) under uncultured Bacteroidota bacterium. RNAcentral's name for it is "bacterial SSU rRNA". It matches the Rfam family "Bacterial small subunit ribosomal RNA", at positions 8 to 929 of the family's 1533-position model. The record is from RNAcentral. Lineage: Bacteria; Pseudomonadati; Bacteroidota.